GCAAAACUCAAGGAAGCAGAGAGCAGGAAAAAAAAAGAAUUUCUGUGAUCCAGCCUUGGACAACUGGAUGAUCUGGGGAUUUCCAUAAUCUUGUCAUGAAAAUCUAUGCAUGAAAGAUUAGAAGGUGGUUCAGCUUUGUUCAGUGAGAAGCAAUAGUCCACUACACCCAGCCCAGCCUCACUCUGGAGAACAAAGAUCGCAAUACAAAAUGGGCAAAAGUAAUUCUGUCUAGGACCAAAGGCAAUCAUUUCACCUAUGUAUGUACAUGGUAGAGGGACUUCUCUCCAUAUUCUGACCUGCAAGCAUAAGUGGCCGAAGUGAAAGGGCAGAUCC
This 333-nucleotide long non-coding RNA is filed under the name Phasianus colchicus (ring-necked pheasant). Its description in RNAcentral is "lncRNA (ENSPCLG00000003054.1)". The record is from RNAcentral. Lineage: Eukaryota; Metazoa; Chordata; Aves; Galliformes; Phasianidae.